GGAGAGAUGGCUCAGUGGUUAAGAGCACUGGCUGCUCUUGCAGAGGACCUGGGUUCAAUUCCCAGCACCC
Molecule: non-coding RNA, 70 nt
Organism: Neotoma lepida (desert woodrat)
Lineage: Eukaryota; Metazoa; Chordata; Mammalia; Rodentia; Cricetidae
Source: Rfam